CACUCAGUAGAUUUCUACUGCUCGGGGAGAGGGGAAAGUCUCCAGCCUAGCUGGCGGAUGAGUACGCUCUGUCUGCACCCUUGUCUUUUUGCGUACUUCUGUUUCCUCGGCGGGCCUGCCCGCCGGUUGGACAACUUAACAACCUUUUUAAUUUUCAAUCAGCGUCUGAAUAAUUAUAAUAAUUA
Molecule: unclassified non-coding RNA, 185 nt
Filed under: uncultured Phaeosphaeriaceae
Lineage: Eukaryota; Fungi; Ascomycota; Dothideomycetes; Pleosporales; Phaeosphaeriaceae
Description: sequence contains ITS1
Source: RNAcentral